AUGCCACUGUCUAUUGUCUCCAAUUGCGAUCGCAUCUUUACUAGCCUUUUCUGGAAGGUGCUCUUUCGUAAAUCGGGUAUUUUGCUUCGCAUGAGCUCUGCUCGCCAUCCCCAAUCAGACGAACAAACAGAGCGUGUUAACCAGCAAGUGGAAUGCUUUCUUCGCUAUUUUGUCAGCGCUCACCCCUCUCGGUGGGCUCAAUGGAUACCACUAUGUGAGUUUUGGUACAAUACUAAUUGGCAUUCAGCUACAAGUGCUACUCCUUUUGAAAUCAUAUAUGGCCAUCCUCCACGCCACUUUGGUCUGACAACUGAUGACACGAUCCAGUCUCAAGAUCUUCAGCAAUGA
This 348-nucleotide ribosomal RNA is filed under the name Triticum aestivum (bread wheat). RNAcentral's name for it is "partial small subunit ribosomal RNA". Lineage: Eukaryota; Viridiplantae; Streptophyta; Magnoliopsida; Poales; Poaceae. The record is from RNAcentral.